Rhipicephalus microplus (southern cattle tick) is the source of this 147-nucleotide long non-coding RNA. NCBI's taxonomy places the organism in Eukaryota, Metazoa, Arthropoda, Arachnida, Ixodida, Ixodidae. The record is from RefSeq and is a predicted model, not a curated record.
CAGCUCAAAAAGUACACAACCUACGGACAAGGGAAGCGGCAACAAUGCGGGAAAUUCGAAGGAAGAAAAAAAUUCCACCACGAGCACUGCUUCAUCGACCACACAGAAACCAAGCGGUGAUAAAAGCCUUGGCGGCCACACUAACAA